RNAcentral lists this ribosomal RNA (468 nucleotides) under uncultured bacterium. RNAcentral describes it as "partial 16S ribosomal RNA". It matches the Rfam family "Bacterial small subunit ribosomal RNA", at positions 28 to 507 of the family's 1533-position model. The record is from RNAcentral.
GACGAACGCUGGCGGCGUGCUUAACACAUGCAAGUCGAACGGAAAGGCCCUGCUUUUGUGGGUUGCUCGAGUGGCGAACGGGUGAGUAACACGUGAGUAACCUGCCCUUGACUUUGGGAUAACUUCAGGAAACUGGGGCUAAUACCGGAUAGGAGCUCCUGCUGCAUGGUGGGGGUUGGAAAGUUUCGGCGGUUGGGGAUGGACUCGCGGCUUAUCAGCUUGUUGGUGGGGUAGUGGCUUACCAAGGCUUUGACGGGUAGCCGGCCUGAGAGGGUGACCGGCCACAUUGGGACUGAGAUACGGCCCAGACUCCUACGGGAGGCAGCAGUGGGGAAUAUUGCACAAUGGGCGGAAGCCUGAUGCAGCAACGCCGCGUGCGGGAUGACGGCCUUCGGGUUGUAAACCACUUUCGCCUGUGACGAAGCGUGAGUGACGGUAAUGGGUAAAGAAGCACCGGCUAACUACGUG